UGGGGAAUAUUGCGCAAUGGGCGAAAGCCUGACGCAGCAACGCCGCGUGAGUGAAGAAGGCCUUCGGGUUGUAAAGCUCUUUUGUCAGGGAAGAAACGGUAGUAGCGAAUAACUAUUACUAAUGACGGUACCUGAAGAAUAAGCACCGGCUAACUACGUGCCAGCAGCCGCGGUAAUACGUAGGGUGCAAGCGUUAAUCGGAAUUACUGGGCGUAAAGCGUGCGCAGGCGGUUGUGUAAGUCAGAUGUGAAAUCCCCGGGCUCAACCUGGGAAUUGCAUUUGAGACUGCACGGCUAGAGUGUGUCAGAGGGGGGUAGAAUUCCACGUGUAGCAGUGAAAUGCGUAGAUAUGUGGAGGAAUACCGAUGGCGAAGGCAGCCCCCUGGGAUAACACUGACGCUCAUGCACGAAAGCGUGGGGAGCAAACAGGAUUAGAUACCCCCGUAGUCCCUGAGCGGGCUGGCAAGGCG
Molecule: ribosomal RNA, 469 nt
Filed under: uncultured bacterium
Lineage: Bacteria
Description: bacterial SSU rRNA
Rfam family: Bacterial small subunit ribosomal RNA
Source: RNAcentral